Molecule: transfer RNA, 78 nt
Filed under: Chloroflexota bacterium
Lineage: Bacteria; Bacillati; Chloroflexota
Description: Chloroflexi bacterium tRNA-Pro
Source: RNAcentral
CCGGGCGGCCUGAUCUAAUGCAAAAUCAUGGCGUUCGGGACGCUGAGGCCGGAGGUUCAAAUCCUCUCGCCCCGACCA